CUAACAAGGUAAAUUGCAAAAAUUCAAAAAAGAAGAAAUUGUAAAAUUAAAGUGGAGACAAAUGCAGGAAACAUGAAAAUACUUCAUUCAUAAGUUCAUUGCAAUGGUUUAGCACCAUAUUUACAGCAAAAUAACCCCAGAUAGACCAAAUUCAUUUUUCAUUAUAAUUUAUGAAUUAAUUUUCACAUCUCACAAUCGUUU
Molecule: long non-coding RNA, 201 nt
Filed under: Capsicum annuum
Lineage: Eukaryota; Viridiplantae; Streptophyta; Magnoliopsida; Solanales; Solanaceae
Description: long non-coding RNA (CANN_LNC009557)
Source: RNAcentral